This 1361-nucleotide long non-coding RNA is filed under the name Sus scrofa (pig). RNAcentral's name for it is "lncRNA (multiple genes)". The record is from RNAcentral. Lineage: Eukaryota; Metazoa; Chordata; Mammalia; Artiodactyla; Suidae.
AUGGCAAAAAGACAGAAAAAAAAGAAUUAUUUCUAGUGUUUAGCACAGUGUCUGGCAUAGUGGGUAUAUGGGUCUGAUUCCUGUUAUAAAACUGAGCAUAUCUUCAACCGCAGACCUAACACAGCGCUUCAGAAAGUCAAACAGACCCUAGUGCAGGACUGCUUUCCAUCCUUCUACCCUCCUUCUCCUCUAGAGUCAAAUACUUGGCUUGACAGUGCAGAGAAACUAUGACCAAAGACUUUGUCUUAAACGGACAAAUUCAGAAGGAGGAGGAAAUGGAUACCAUACCUUUGAAAGCAGAUUUGUUUCACUGCCUCUUAGCAACCCAGCUAUAGAACUAUUCAUGGGGGUAAACAAACAAACACCAGAUGCAAAAUCAAAUACAUUCAUCAGCAGACAGAAAACGUAGAAGUGUUAGAGCAGUUGUGAAACUCUGAUUGGAAAAAGAUCAUCAUAAAAAAUUAGGUCGCUGAUACACAGUGAAAGUAUUCUGACUUUCUUCUGCCUUAGCCACCUAAGAGCAAAACAGCCAAUUCUUCAUGCAAAGUGUUAGCAUUGGCCCUUAUUUCCACCCACACAUUUCCAGGUGUAACCACUUCCCCUGUCUAAACUCUGCCUUCUGGCUCCACGGCAGCAGAACACUUCUCUGAGCGAUACCUCGAUACAAGUGUACAACAGGUUUACGACUAAGGCAAGACUCUUUCUCAGAAUCCAGAUUUGUCUGACCCUUCUAAUUAGACCCUCAGCCUGGCUUUUCUUCAUAUCUCUAACUGCUUUCUUCUGGUUGCAUCCCUGACCUAUGCCUUCUUACUCACACUCUCUGGGUGAGCCCUGGCUGUGGAAAUACAUUUCCUGGCUCCUGGCAGCUGGCUCAAAACUGACAGGAGCUCCUAUUUACAUUUUCAUAUCUAGCUGAGCUUCAAAGAUCCUGGACCUGAUCCCUAACUCCAGAACCAUUACCCCAAAUUACCCAAGUUUUUGAUGGUGACCUGAAAAGGAAAAGCCACAAGGAAACACACCCAGAGGAAGCAUGUUCAUAGGGGCAGUAAUGUCGGGAGCAGAGUUUUUCCUCAGCAACCAAGAGCUAUAGGAAAUCCAAGGAACUUUCAGCCCCUUGAGUAAAAGAGUAGAGUUCCUGUUGUGUGAUUAGUGAAUCCGACUAGGAACCAUGAGGUGGAGGCCUCGCUCCAGUAGGUUAAGAACCAACUAGAAUCCAUGAGGAUGUGGGUUUGAUCUCUGGCCUUGCUCCUUGGGUUAAGGAUCUGGCGUUGCUGUGACUCUGGCAUAGGUCAGCAGCUGCAGAUCCAAUCCAACCCCUAGCCUGGGAACCUCCAUAUACCUCUAUGCACAUUUUAAGGGAU